UAGGAGAAAAACUUUCAAUUACAAAUGAAAGGACAUUCAAACAAUGCAAGAACAUUCUCCACCUACCAGAAAACUGUGCUCUGAAAGUGCAGUGGAGCUCAGGAUGCAGCCAAGGGUGACUUAGCCUGUAAAUCUGAGCUUAAACAUACAUGAGAAACAAUGGAUGUUCAAUAGUAAAGAAGCAUUUAAAAGUUUUUAGAAAGAAAACGAGAAGUGAAAAAAAAACUAUUUCCUUCUUCAAUACCAGACAACAAAAAAGGAAGAGUGAAUAAAUACAUCAACCAAGGACAGCAACAGCUACAGAGUGACAGCAGUGAGACCAGCAAGAGACUUCUUUUGAAAUGUACACAAGGAGGCAGAGGUGAAGAUGGAAAUCUGGUGUAAAAUGAAGAGGGAGAAUAUCGGAACUCAUAGGGGCAACUGGCAGAGGGAGAAGAGAUUUUUGAGGCAAAUGGAGAAAAAGAGAUGAUUGUCUUAAUUGUCAUGAAUCCAAUAAUAGAAAAUGGCACGUGCUGUAGUCUGAGAACUACAGGUGGAAGUCUGUACCUAAAAGUUGAGGGGAUGGCUUUGCAGUGGCCUAAGGUAGGAGCCUCUUGACUCAGUCUCCCCAUUGUGCUACUUCCUUCCUGAACAGGAAAUUUCCACCUGGUUUAUCCUGAACCUUGUUUUUGAUACCCUGUGACUACAUGACAGGCUGUCAGAUAUGACUCAUGCCUAGAAUCAAACAAAGCAGAUUUUAGCAGAAUUAUCUUGGAAUCUCCACAAGUGGUUUGGAACCAGAGAAGCAGAGUACUCUUCAGAGCUGUCCUGAGAAUAAGGCCUAUUCCAGAAUGUUCAAGAGAAGAUAUACAAGCACCAGAGACAUGAAACAUGACACAUCUGGGACUCAAAAUAUGCUAAUUAAGUGGACAUUGGGAGUGGGUUACUAGGAUACAAGGAGACUUGUUGUUAGUUAAUAUUGAUGAUUGUUAUUAUAUUGCUUUGGCCUUUUGUUUCAUGGUGUUUAUGUUGAAGUUAGUUCGUUGUGAGUUUGAUCUAUAACCUGACAUGUAAUUCUGAUUAUGAAUAUAUGAAGAACCUUAUAGAUUCGGCUUAUAGAUAAGUGAUCCAUGGGGGAGUAGGCCUGUCAUGAAUCAAAAGGGGGAAAUUGAGGGAACUGAGGGGACUGAAGCAGCAAGUGGUGGUGGGAAUUUAGUGAACCACACUCACUCCAUCUUAUGACAACUCUGGAGCUAGUUCAGUUCCCUUUCUAUUCAAUUAUAGGUCUAAUAAAAUGUUUGUCUUCUGAGAAAGGAGAAUUCAAUUAGGGGAAUCAUGAGAAAACUACUGCAUUGUUUGAACUAGCCCCGCAUGCCUAGCAGGUUGGAUUACAUCUACCUGCUGCUUAGAGACCCUUAACUAAGGACCUAGGUUAUACUGUCCAGAAACCCAGUCAGAUCCAAUGACUGAUGCAACAAAUUUUCUCAGUUAUACAUCUCAAGCAACCCAUAUGGUUUAUCUGUUAUCAAUAAGUUAUUGUUUACAUGUUCCUUUGAUUGUUUCCACACACUUGGGGGAAGUAGGACACAUCUUUUUCUGAUUUCAGGGUACUGCACCUGUUUGCUCUCCCCCUCCCAACAUGGAAAGUCCCUAAUCUUUCCUCUAAUUAGAAAUCAGAUGGCCUAAUGUUGUAGGCUGGUUAACUGUUUCCUUUUAAUUAAUUGGUCUUAUUUGAUUGAUUGUUUUUAAUAUAUAAAAAUCUGUUUCUCCCUAUAUUCCGGGUCCAGCCCUAAACCAAGGAAGUCUGGUCCCAAUUUGUUGGGCAAUUGGUAUUCAAUGGUUAAUAAAUCAAUAUGUUCAGAAGCUUGA
Molecule: non-coding RNA, 1848 nt
Organism: Phascolarctos cinereus (koala)
Lineage: Eukaryota; Metazoa; Chordata; Mammalia; Diprotodontia; Phascolarctidae
Source: RefSeq, a predicted model, not a curated record